UACGGGGGGGGCAAGCGUUGUUCGGAAUUACUGGGCGUAAAGGGUUCGUAGGUGGCUUGUUAAGUCAGACGUGAAAUCCCUCAGCUUAACUGGGGAACUGCGUCUGAGACUGGUGAGCUUGAGUGCAGGAGAGGAACGCGGAAUUCCAGGUGUAGCGGUGAAAUGCGUAGAUAUCGGAAGGAACAUCAGUGGCGAAGGCGACUUCCUGGACCAAUACUGACGCUCAGGUGCGAAAGCGUGGGGAGCAAACAGG
RNAcentral lists this ribosomal RNA (253 nucleotides) under uncultured bacterium. RNAcentral describes it as "partial 16S ribosomal RNA". It matches the Rfam family "Bacterial small subunit ribosomal RNA", at positions 524 to 776 of the family's 1533-position model. The record is from RNAcentral.